AGUCGAGCGGCAGUCGAUGUCCUUCGCUACAUCACGCUAAGUGGCGAACGGGUGAGUAAUGCUUCGGAAUCUGCCUAUUAGUGGGGGACAACUUUCCGAAAGGUAUGCUAAUACCGCAUACGCCCUGAGGUGGAAAGCAGGGGAUCUUCGGACCUUGCGCUAUUGGAUGAGCCUAUGUCAGAUUAGCUAGUUGGUGGGGUAAAGGCCUACCAAGGCGACGAUCUGUAGCGGGUCUGAGAGGAUGAUCCGCCACACUGGAACUGAGACACGGUCCAGACUCCUACGGGAGGCAGCAGUGGGGAAUUUUGGACAAUGGGCGAAAGCCUGAUCCAGCCAUGCCGCGUGAGUGAAGAAGGCCUUUGGGUUGUAAAGCUCUUUCGGCCAGGGAAGAAGACUACUGKGGAUUAAUACUCGCCAUGAAUGGACGUUACUCGACUAAAAAGCCCCCGGCUAACUUCGAGCCAGCAGCCGCGGUAAUACGUAGGGKGCGAGCGUUAAUCCGAAUUUACUGGGCGUAAAGCGUGGCGCAGGCGUUUGCUAAGACAGGUGUGAAAUCCCCGGGCUUAACCUGGGAACUGCGCUUGUGACUGCCAGGCUAGAGUACGCAGAGGGGGGUGGAAUUCCACGUGUACCAGUGAAAUGCGUAGAGAUGUGGAGAAACACCGAUGGCGAAGGCAGCCCCCUGGGCCUGUACUGACGCUCAUGCAGGAAAGCGUGGGGAGCAACCAGGAUUAGAUACCCUGGUAGUCCACGCCUUAAACGAUGUCAAUUAUUCGUUGGGAGCGGUAACCCACUGAGUGACGCAGUUAACGCGUGAAKUUGACCGCCUGGGGAGUACGGCCCCAAGGUUAAAMUUCAAAGGAAUUGACGGGGACCCGCCCAAGCGGUGGAUGAUGUGGAUUAAUUGGAUGCAACGCGAAAACCCUUACUUACCCUUGCCAUCCCAGGAAUCUUGGUGAGAGCCGAGAGUCCCUUCGGGAGCCUGGACCCAGGUGCUCCAUGGCUGUCUUCAGCUCGUUUCGUGAGAUGUUGGGUUAAUUCCCGCAACGAGCCCAACCCUUGCCAUUAAUUCCCAUCAUUGAGUUGGCCACUUUAGUGGGACUGCCGGUGCCAAACCGGAGGAAGGUGGGGAGGACGUCAAGUCUUCAUGGCCCUUAUGGGUAGGGCUUCCCACUUCAUCCAAUGGUCGGUACAGAGGGUUGCCAAGCCGCGAGGCGGAGCCAAUCCCUACAAAGCCGAUCGUAUUCCGGAUCCCAUUUUGCAAUUGGACUGCGGAAUUCGGAAUCGUUAGUAAUCGCGGAUCACCA
Molecule: ribosomal RNA, 1307 nt
Filed under: uncultured bacterium
Lineage: Bacteria
Description: partial 16S ribosomal RNA
Rfam family: Bacterial small subunit ribosomal RNA
Source: RNAcentral